GUUGAAACAAAAGCUGAAACCACAUGCAGCCCAACCAGAGAAAUAGAAGGAAGCAGAGAGCCAGUUGAAACAAAAGCUGAGACCACACACAGCCCAACCAGAGAAAAAGAAGAAAGCACAGAACCAGGUCAUACGCCAACAGACUCAUCAUUUAAUGGAGCUGAGAGCCCACGCAGCCCAACCAGAGAAAUAGAAAAAACCAGAGAACCAUGUCCAACGCCAACAGACUCAUUAUCUAAUGGAGGU
Molecule: long non-coding RNA, 246 nt
Organism: Cyprinodon variegatus (sheepshead minnow)
Lineage: Eukaryota; Metazoa; Chordata; Actinopteri; Cyprinodontiformes; Cyprinodontidae
Exons: 3
Source: RefSeq, a predicted model, not a curated record